AGGACAGGUAUAGAACUGUUUGUAGGACAGGUAUGGAACUGUUUGUUGGACAGGUAUAGAACUGUUUGUAGGACAGGUAUGGAACUGUUUGUUGGACAGGUAUGGGACUGUUUGUAGGACAGGUAUGGAACUGUUUGUUGGACAGGUAUGGAACAGUUUGUAGGACAGGUAUGGAACAGUUUGUAGGACAGGUAUGGAACUGUUUGUUGGACAGGUAUGGAACAGUUUGUAGGACAGGUAUGGAACAGUUUGUAGGACAGGUAUGGAACAGUUUGUAGGACAGGUAUGGAACAGUUUGUAGGACAGGUAUGGAACAGUUUGUAGGACAGGUAUGGAACAGUUUGUAGGACAGGUAUGGAACUGUUUGCCCUGUUUAUAUUUGUAGACAUUUUCGUGUUUUUAUGUUCUUUUAUUAAUUCAUUUUUUAUUGCCUUUUUUGGUUUGAGUUUUAUCUCAUUUGAUUGGAUUUUAUAUGACACAUAGAAUGGAUUAACUUCCAGGUUUGAAUUUCCUCUUUGUGACAUAAGCGCUCGCUGAGUGGCACUCGUCAUCCUGUCAUCGUUUUUCUGUACCCUUCAUAUGAUGGGAUGGAACAGUUUUGAUCCUGUGUAGCCCUCCUGGUUUGGUGUUGUAUUUCGUCUGUGAAUAAAAUCUAACUUUUUAAAAUA
Long non-coding RNA from Oncorhynchus keta (chum salmon), 668 nucleotides. RefSeq lists it as uncharacterized. The transcript has 3 exons. Lineage: Eukaryota; Metazoa; Chordata; Actinopteri; Salmoniformes; Salmonidae. The record is from RefSeq and is a predicted model, not a curated record.